GUGAGAAAAACAUGUCAAGAACGAACCUCCAGUUAUGAAAGCGCUUUUCCAAGUUCUGCGAUUCCUGCUGCUCUGCGCUCCGAUUAUCUCCCUUCCAGCUCCACUCCAGCAACUCGUCGUGCUUUGGCAGGUUCUUCUUGACAAUGUGUGCUUUUCCUUGAAUUGUAUUUUGAUACCGAUUUAUCUUGUUCUUAACCUGCGUAUUUCCUGUAGACUGCUGCUAUUGUAUUUGCUGUGCAUUGUGAAAUAA
This 250-nucleotide long non-coding RNA is filed under the name Lepisosteus oculatus (spotted gar). RNAcentral describes it as "lncRNA (ENSLOCG00000022948.1)". The record is from RNAcentral. Lineage: Eukaryota; Metazoa; Chordata; Actinopteri; Semionotiformes; Lepisosteidae.